UCGGGAAUAUUGCGCAAUGGAGGAAACUCUGACGCAGUGACGCCGCGUGCAGGAAGAAGGUUUUCGGAUUGUAAACUGCUUUAGACAGGGAAGAUACAAGACAGUACCUGUAGAAUAAGCUCCGGCUAACUACGUGCCAGCAGCCGCGGUAAUACGUAGGGAGCAAGCGUUAUCCGGAUUUAUUGGGUGUAAAGGGUGCGUAGACGGGAGUGCAAGUUGGUUGUGAAAUCCCUCGGCUUAACUGAGGAACUGCAACCAAAACUACAUUUCUUGAGUGCUGGAGAGGAAAGUGGAAUUCCUAGUGUAGCGGUGAAAUGCGUAGAUAUUAGGAGGAACACCAGUGGCGAAGGCGACUUUCUGGACAGUAACUGACGUUGAGGCACGAAAGUGUGGGGAGCAAACAGG
This 405-nucleotide ribosomal RNA is filed under the name uncultured bacterium. RNAcentral describes it as "bacterial SSU rRNA". It matches the Rfam family "Bacterial small subunit ribosomal RNA", at positions 355 to 776 of the family's 1533-position model. The record is from RNAcentral.